RNAcentral lists this small nuclear RNA (105 nucleotides) under Jaculus jaculus (lesser Egyptian jerboa). The record is from RNAcentral. Lineage: Eukaryota; Metazoa; Chordata; Mammalia; Rodentia; Dipodidae.
AUGCUCUUCAGCAGCACAUAUACUAAAAUUGGAAUGAUACAGAGAAGAUCAGCAUGGCCCCUGCGCAAGGAUGACAUGCAAAUUCGUGAAGUGUUCCAUGUUAAA